RNAcentral lists this ribosomal RNA (616 nucleotides) under Paecilomyces sp. RA101. RNAcentral's name for it is "LSU rRNA". It matches the Rfam family "Eukaryotic large subunit ribosomal RNA", at positions 37 to 668 of the family's 3401-position model. The record is from RNAcentral. Lineage: Eukaryota; Fungi; Ascomycota; Eurotiomycetes; Eurotiales; Thermoascaceae.
UGCAUAUCAAUAAGCGGAGGAAAAGAAACCAACAGGGAUUGCCCUAGUAACGGCGAGUGAAGCGGCAAGAGCUCAAAUUUGAAAUCUGGCUCCUCCGGGGUCCGAGUUGUAAUUUGCAGAGGAUGCUUCGGGUGCGGUCCCCGUCUAAGUACCCUGGAAUGGGUCGUCAUAGAGGGUGAGAAUCCCGUCUGGGACGGGUGGCCGUGUCCGUGUGAAGCUCCUUCGACGAGUCGAGUUGUUUGGGAAUGCAGCUCUAAAUGGGUGGUAAAUUUCAUCUAAAGCUAAAUAUUGGCCGGAGACCGAUAGCGCACAAGUAGAGUGAUCGAAAGAUGAAAAGCACUUUGAAAAGAGAGUUAAACAGCACGUGAAAUUGUUGAAAGGGAAGCGCUUGCGACCAGACUCGCCCGCGGGGGUUCAGCCGGUACUCGUACCGGUGUACUCCCCCGUGGGCGGGCCAGCGUCGGUUUGGGCGGCCGGUCAAAGGCCUCCGGAAUGUAUCGCCCUUCGGGGCGUCUUAUAGCCGGGGGUGCAAUGCGGCCAGCCUGGACCGAGGAACGCGCUUCGGCUCGGACGCUGGCGUAAUGGUCGUAAGCGGCCCGUCUUGAAACACGGACCA